This 427-nucleotide ribosomal RNA is filed under the name uncultured bacterium. Its description in RNAcentral is "bacterial SSU rRNA". It matches the Rfam family "Bacterial small subunit ribosomal RNA", at positions 355 to 774 of the family's 1533-position model. The record is from RNAcentral.
UGGGGAAUUUUGGACAAUGGGCGCAAGCCUGAUCCAGCAAUGCCGCGUGCAGGAUGAAGGCCUUCGGGUUGUAAACUGCUUUUGUACGGAGCGAAAAGGUCUGCCCUAAUACGGUGGGCUCAUGACGGUACCGUAAGAAUAAGCACCGGCUAACUACGUGCCAGCAGCCGCGGUAAUACGUAGGGUGCGAGCGUUAAUCGGAAUUACUGGGCGUAAAGCGUGCGCAGGCGGUUAUAUAAGACAGAUGUGAAAUCCCCGGGCUCAACCUGGGACCUGCAUUUGUGACUGUAUAGCUAGAGUACGGUAGAGGGGGAUGGAAUUCCACGUGUAGCAGUGAAAUGCGUAGAUAUGCGGAUGAACACCGAUGGCGAAGGCAAUCCCCUGGACCUGUACUGACGCUCAUGCACGGAAGCGUGGGGAGCAAACA